This is a long non-coding RNA of Drosophila miranda, 305 nucleotides long. RefSeq lists it as uncharacterized. The record is from RefSeq and is a predicted model, not a curated record. NCBI's taxonomy places the organism in Eukaryota, Metazoa, Arthropoda, Insecta, Diptera, Drosophilidae. The transcript is spliced from 2 exons.
CCACAGGAUAGUGCACUUUUGUUCAAAUGUGGACUAAUUCUGAGCAAUCCAUUUCCAAUCUGGGCAUUCGGGACUGUAUUUAUACCGAUUGUUCACGCAAUGAUCUUGCUACGACUCUUCAAAGUUGCCGGUUCGCGCUGGAAAUGAUUUUCUGCCAUUCGUCAACUUUUUCCACUUGCUUCAGACCAAAAUUCACCGUCUUCAGUGUUCUGGAAGCCCAACAGUAGCGCUUCCACGAAUAUCUGCUCGCUUAAGUAUUCAAAAUUGUAAAAGUAUGCAAUAUAUGAAUUGUGUAGAGCCUCAUA